This is a long non-coding RNA of Peromyscus eremicus (cactus mouse), 553 nucleotides long. RefSeq lists it as uncharacterized. The transcript has 3 exons. The record is from RefSeq and is a predicted model, not a curated record. NCBI's taxonomy places the organism in Eukaryota, Metazoa, Chordata, Mammalia, Rodentia, Cricetidae.
GUUCCAACCCCCAUUGAGACUUCGGCAACUGUCACGCCUACAAGGCGGGGCCAAGGGAGGCGCCUGGGGACCCGAGAUCUGGAUCUGCUAGCGCACUCUCAAGUCCGGGACCCUGGAUGGUGGAGGUGGGCCAAGCAGAGCUCCAGAGAACACCACUGGACUGCGAUACACCUUCCCCAGACCCUGCGACCUACCUAUCCCUUAAUUUGGGAUUACAGUUAAGAAAUUACAUGAACCAAAACAACAACAACAAAAACAUGCUAGGUGGAGGUGGCCCAUGCCUUUAAUCCCAGCACUGGAGAGGCAGAGAGCUGAUCACAUGGUAUUGGAUAACCAAUUGGUGUGUUCUCAUCUGGGAAAGACAGAAGACUAUUUACUCUGCUUUUAGCAUUCUAUAGUUGCCCUUAGUUGUUCUGUACAGUUACAGCUUCCUGGACUUUCCUUAGUCCACCUUAGCAUGUCUAUUGCUGUCCUUGUUCAGCAAAAUUUUGGUUAGUCAAAUUGGUGAGAUUUAUGUGUAUGGUGGGUAAAUGAUAUAAAAUCUUGCAAAUGA